RNAcentral lists this transfer RNA (45 nucleotides) under Kluyveromyces lactis. RNAcentral's name for it is "partial transfer RNA". The record is from RNAcentral. Lineage: Eukaryota; Fungi; Ascomycota; Saccharomycetes; Saccharomycetales; Saccharomycetaceae.
AUCUCUUGGGCUCUGCCGCGCUGGUUCAAAUCCUGCUGGUGUCGU